CCUACGGGUGGCAGCAGUGAGGAAUAUUGGUCAAUGGACGAGAGUCUGAACCAGCCAAGUAGCGUGAAGGAUGACUGCCCUAUGGGUUGUAAACUUCUUUUAUAUGGGAAUAAAAUGUUCCACGUGUGGGAUUUUGUAUGUACCAUAUGAAUAAGGAUCGGCUAACUCCGUGCCAGCAGCCGCGGUAAUACGGAGGUUCCGAGCGUUAUCCGGAUUUAUUGGGUUUAAAGGGAGCGUAGGUGGGUUGUUAAGUCAGUUGGGAAAGUUUGCGGCUCAACCGUAAAAUUGCAGUUGAAACUGGCAGUCUUGAGUACAGUAGAGGUGGGCGGAAUGCGUGGUGUAGCGGUGAAAUGCUUAGAUAGCACGAAGAACUCCGAUUGCGAAGGCAGCUCACUGGACUGCAACUGACACUGAGGCUCGAAAGUGUGGGUAUCAAACAGGAUUAGAUACCCGGGUAGUC
Molecule: ribosomal RNA, 460 nt
Filed under: uncultured bacterium
Lineage: Bacteria
Description: partial 16S ribosomal RNA
Rfam family: Bacterial small subunit ribosomal RNA
Source: RNAcentral